RNAcentral lists this ribosomal RNA (484 nucleotides) under uncultured bacterium. Its description in RNAcentral is "partial 16S ribosomal RNA". It matches the Rfam family "Bacterial small subunit ribosomal RNA", at positions 30 to 507 of the family's 1533-position model. The record is from RNAcentral.
AUUGAACGCUGGCGGCAGGCCUAACACAUGCAAGUCGAGCGGAUGAAGGGAGCUUGCUCUUGUAUUCCGCGGCGGACGGGUGAGUAAUGCCCAGGAAUCUGCCUGGUAGUGGGGGAUAACGUCCGGACACGGGCGCUAAUACCGCAUCCGUCCAGAGGGUGAACGGGGUGGAUCUUCGGACCUCACGCUAUCAGAUGAGCCUAGGUCGGAUUAGCUAGUUGGUAGGGUAAAGGCCUACCAAGGCGACGAUCCGUAACUGGUCUGAGAGGCUGACCAGUCACACUGGAACUGAGACACGGUCCAGACUCCUACGGGAGGCAGCAGUAGGGAAUAUUCGACAAUGGGCGAAAGCCUGAUCCAGCCAUGCCGCGUGAGUGAAGAAGGUCUUCGGAUUGUAAAACUCUUUAAGUUGGGAAGAAGAGCAGUAAGUGAAUACCUUGCUGUUUUGACGUUACCAACAGAAAAAGCACCGGCUAACUUCGUG